RNAcentral lists this ribosomal RNA (460 nucleotides) under uncultured bacterium. Its description in RNAcentral is "partial 16S ribosomal RNA". It matches the Rfam family "Bacterial small subunit ribosomal RNA", at positions 338 to 795 of the family's 1533-position model. The record is from RNAcentral.
CCUACGGGGGGCUGCAGUGAGGAAUAUUGGUCAAUGGACGAGAGUCUGAACCAGCCAAGUAGCGUGAAGGAUGACUGCCCUAUGGGUUGUAAACUUCUUUUAUAUGGGAAUAAAAUGUUCCACGUGUGGGAUUUUGUAUGUACCAUAUGAAUAAGGAUCGGCGAACUCCGUGCAAGCAGCCGCGGUAAUACGGAGGAUCCGAGCGUUAUCCGGGUUUAUUGGGUUUAAAGGGAGCGUAGGUGGAUUGUUAAGUCAGUUGUGAAAGUUUGCGGUUGAAACGUAAAAUUGCAGUUGAAACUGGCAGUCUUGAGUACAGUAGAGGUGGGCGGAAUUCGUGGUGUAGCGGUGAAAUGCUUAGAUAUCACGAAGAACUCCGAUUGCGAAGGCAGCUCACUGGACUGCAACUGACACUGAGGCUCGAAAGUGUGGGUAUCAAACAGGAUUAGAUACCCUGGUAGUC